This 540-nucleotide ribosomal RNA is filed under the name Penicillium samsonianum. Its description in RNAcentral is "eukaryotic LSU rRNA". The stretch from base 209 to 361 matches the Rfam family "5.8S ribosomal RNA". Lineage: Eukaryota; Fungi; Ascomycota; Eurotiomycetes; Eurotiales; Aspergillaceae. The record is from RNAcentral.
CUUCCGUAGGGUGAACCUGCGGAAGGAUCAUUACCGAGUGAGGGCCCUCUGGGUCCAACCUCCCACCCGUGUUUAUUUACCUUGUUGCUUCGGCGGGCCCGCCUUAACUGGCCGCCGGGGGGCUCACGCCCCCGGGCCCGCGCCCGCCGAAGACACCCUCGAACUCUGUCUGAAGAUUGUAGUCUGAGUGAAAAUAUAAAUUAUUUAAAACUUUCAACAACGGAUCUCUUGGUUCCGGCAUCGAUGAAGAACGCAGCGAAAUGCGAUACGUAAUGUGAAUUGCAAAUUCAGUGAAUCAUCGAGUCUUUGAACGCACAUUGCGCCCCCUGGUAUUCCGGGGGGCAUGCCUGUCCGAGCGUCAUUGCUGCCCUCAAGCACGGCUUGUGUGUUGGGCCCCGUCCUCCGAUUCCGGGGGACGGGCCCGAAAGGCAGCGGCGGCACCGCGUCCGGUCCUCGAGCGUAUGGGGCUUUGUCACCCGCUCUGUAGGCCCGGCCGGCGCUUGCCGAUCAACCCAAAUUUUUAUCCAGGUGACCUCGGAU